This 247-nucleotide ribosomal RNA is filed under the name uncultured bacterium. RNAcentral's name for it is "partial 16S ribosomal RNA". It matches the Rfam family "Bacterial small subunit ribosomal RNA", at positions 118 to 366 of the family's 1533-position model. The record is from RNAcentral.
UGAGUAACCUGCCCUGGACUUUGGGAUAACCCUCGGAAACGGGGGCUAAUACCGGAUAUGACCUGCCGUUGCAUGGUGGUGGGUGGAAAGAUUUUUUGGUCUGGGAUGGGCUCGCGGCCUAUCAGCUUGUUGGUGGGGUGAUGGCCUACCAAGGCGACGACGGGUAGCCGGCCUGAGAGGGCGACCGGCCACACUGGGACUGAGACACGGCCCAGACUCCUACGGGAGGCAGCAGUGGGGAAUAUUG